This 84-nucleotide transfer RNA is filed under the name Mesomycoplasma hyorhinis HUB-1. RNAcentral's name for it is "Mycoplasma hyorhinis HUB-1 tRNA-Leu". It matches the Rfam family "tRNA". From Rfam's summary of the family: Transfer RNA (tRNA) molecules are approximately 80 nucleotides in length. Their secondary structure includes four short double-helical elements and three loops (D, anti-codon, and T loops). RNAcentral also lists the same sequence under 1 other name. The record is from RNAcentral. Lineage: Bacteria; Bacillati; Mycoplasmatota; Mycoplasmoidales; Metamycoplasmataceae.
GCUCGAGUGGCGGAACAGGUAGACGCAAGGGACUUAAAAUCCCUCGGGAGCAAUCCCGUGCUGGUUCAAUUCCAGUCUCGAGCA